RNAcentral lists this ribosomal RNA (494 nucleotides) under uncultured bacterium. RNAcentral describes it as "partial 16S ribosomal RNA". It matches the Rfam family "Bacterial small subunit ribosomal RNA", at positions 28 to 507 of the family's 1533-position model. The record is from RNAcentral.
GACGAACGCUGGCGGCGUGCUUAACACAUGCAAGUCGAACGGUGAAGCGCCUUCCUUUUUGGUGGGUGUGGAUGAGUGGCGAACGGGUGAGUAACACGUGAGUAACCUGCCCCCUUCUUCUGGAUAACCGCAUGAAAGUGUGGCUAAUACGGGAUAUUCUGGUUCUGUCGCAUGAUGGGUCUGGGAAAGAUAUUGUUUCGGUGGGGGAUGGUCUCGCGGCCUAUCAGCUUGUUGGUGGGGUGAUGGCCUACCAAGGCGGUGACGGGUAGCCGGCCUGAGAGGGUGGACGGUCACACUGGGACUGAGACACGGCCCAGACUGCUACGGGAGGCAGCAGUGGGGGAUAUUGAACAAUGGGCGAAAGCCUGAUGCAGCGGCGACGCGUGAGGGAUGGAGGCCUUCGGGUUGUGAACCUCUUUCGCCAGUGAAGCAGGCCUGCCUCGUAUGUGGGUGGGUUGACGGUAGCUGGAUAAGAAGCGCCGGCUAACUACGUG